UACGUAGGGUGCAAGCGUUGUCCGGAAUUAUUGGGCGUAAAGCGCGUGUAGGCGGCUCGAUAAGUCUGCUGUGAAAGUCCAGGGCUCAACCCUGGGAUGCCGGUGGAUACUGUCGAGCUCGAGUCCGGAAGAGGCGAGUGGAAUUCCUGGUGUAGCGGUGAAAUGCGCAGAUAUCGGGAGGAACACCGGUGGCGAAGGCGGUUCUACUGGGCCUGUACUGACGCUGAGGAGCGAAAGCGUGGGGAGCGAACAGG
Molecule: ribosomal RNA, 254 nt
Filed under: uncultured bacterium
Lineage: Bacteria
Description: partial 16S ribosomal RNA
Rfam family: Bacterial small subunit ribosomal RNA
Source: RNAcentral